AUGGUGCUGGGCCUGGAGGAAGAGCUCACCAACCCGUGCCCUGGCCUGAGGACACCACGGCGUCUCUCUCCCCAGAGGAGAGGCCUGUGGGAGCAGAGCUGGCCCAGCUCCAGGACUGUGGGUACCAGGGCCUUUUGUUGGCAGGAGCCGGAACCCCGUGUCCCUUCUCUGCCCACUGAGCUGCAGAGGUCCAGGUUCAUACGGACGCGAUUCCACAAAGAAGACCAAAUCUCAAUGCUCUCAGCAAGUCGGUCCCAGGGAAGCCAAGGGCCCCUCUUCCACAGGAUGGUUUCCACAGCAACCAGCCCAGGCUUGCCGGGGGCUGGCUGGGAGGUCAGGGGCUGCCAGAGUUCCUGGGAAGGGGAUUCCAGUCCUCCAGGAAGAGGCUCAGGAUUUCCUCCUAGGAAACAGUGGGAGGGUGCAUGGGGAAAGUCCCCGGGGACUUUUCCAGGGCCACCGGCACAGUGCCCUCCCAGGCUCUUCCUGCCCCCACGGUCCUGCUCCCCACCCCUGCCCACCAGAGUGCUCGGAGCUCCCCACGCGGGGGGAGUGAGGAGCAGCACACGACUUCCUGUUUCCUCACUUGGUGCCUUUUGCACAACUGCCCGUGGAGGCUGGCGGUACAGCGCCGGGCUCAGGCCUCUCGGUGAACCGUCUUUGUUAAAGCCCCCACCAGCUGCGGAGCUGCUGGGGACAAGUCUGAGGCGGAGCGCGUCUUGGGAAGUCCCCUUGGGUAGCAGCUGGCUGGGGCAGGUGGGGGGCAGUGCCAGGCCGGACCUGGCAGGAAGUAGAUGGCUACAUUAGGCAGGUCCCUGGAGGGGCACUGAACAAAGGGAUUAUUUAAAGAACAUGGUGGGCUUGAAACUGGGCAGUCUGGGUGGCUGGGGCAGCAGGAGGCAGUUGUGUCCCCAGACCUGGGGGUGUGGGUAGGAGAGCCCUGGAUAUGAGUAGCGGCUGCCCACAAGAGGACCUGGGAGCCUCGGGAUCAGCAGGGGUCUCCAGGGAAUUGAUCCACAGGACACAGGACACAGUCCGCCCUCCACAGCUACUGGUUCUACACCCUUGGAUCCACCUAUGAG
Molecule: long non-coding RNA, 1079 nt
Filed under: Fukomys damarensis (Damara mole-rat)
Lineage: Eukaryota; Metazoa; Chordata; Mammalia; Rodentia; Bathyergidae
Description: lncRNA (ENSFDAG00000026776.1)
Source: RNAcentral